GCCUUCGUGGCUUAAUGGAUAAGGCGUCGGCCUCCUCAGCCGAAGACUGCGGGUUCGAGUCCCGUCGGAGGUA
RNAcentral lists this transfer RNA (73 nucleotides) under Paramuricea clavata. It matches the Rfam family "tRNA". From Rfam's summary of the family: Transfer RNA (tRNA) molecules are approximately 80 nucleotides in length. Their secondary structure includes four short double-helical elements and three loops (D, anti-codon, and T loops). The record is from Rfam by way of RNAcentral. Lineage: Eukaryota; Metazoa; Cnidaria; Anthozoa; Malacalcyonacea; Plexauridae.